Long non-coding RNA from Telopea speciosissima, 217 nucleotides. RefSeq lists it as uncharacterized. NCBI's taxonomy places the organism in Eukaryota, Viridiplantae, Streptophyta, Magnoliopsida, Proteales, Proteaceae. The record is from RefSeq and is a predicted model, not a curated record. The transcript has 3 exons.
AAAGUGAUGGAUGAGACCAUUGCAUCUUGGGCACUCUUAGACCUGUUGGGGAAGCAUAAAGUACAUGAAACAUCUCUUGCAGCCAGCAACAACGAGAACAUGAUCGCUUUCGUAGCGGUAAUCGUCCCUUGAAGAAGAAGUUGUGGAGGUAGAAGAGGAACCCUUGCUAUCAUACUCACACCCAUUAGAAUACGAGCCAUCUUCUUCAGAGUAAUCA